GAUGAACGCUGGCGGCGUGCCUAAUACAUGCAAGUCGAGCGAACGGACGAGAAGCUUGCUUCUCUGAUGUUAGCGGCGGACGGGUGAGUAACACGUGGAUAACCUACCUAUAAGACUGGGAUAACUUCGGGAAGCCGGAGCUAAUACCGGAUAAUAUUUUGAACCGCAUGGUUCAAAAGUGAAAGACGGUCUUGCUGUCACUUAUAGAUGGAUCCGCGCUGCAUUAGCUAGUUGGUAAGGUAACGGCUUACCAAGGCAACGAUGCAUAGCCGACCUGAGAGGGUGAUCGGCCACACUGGAACUGAGACACGGUCCAGACUCCUACGGGAGGCAGCAGUAGGGAAUCUUCCGCAAUGGGCGAAAGCCUGACGGAGCAACGCCGCGUGAGUGAUGAAGGUCUUCGGAUCGUAAAACUCUGUUAUUAGGGAAGAACAUAUGUGUAAGUAACUGUGCACAUCUUGACGGUACCUAAUCAGAAAGCCACGGCCAACUACGUG
RNAcentral lists this ribosomal RNA (497 nucleotides) under uncultured bacterium. RNAcentral describes it as "partial 16S ribosomal RNA". It matches the Rfam family "Bacterial small subunit ribosomal RNA", at positions 28 to 507 of the family's 1533-position model. The record is from RNAcentral.